AUCAGCAGCCAUAUCACCGAGCAGCUCUUAACUGGCUCCCAUUGAAGCUAAGCAGGGUUGAGCCUGGUCAGUACCUGGAUGACAGACCUCCUGGGAAGCUAUGGUUGCUGCUGGAA
This 116-nucleotide ribosomal RNA is filed under the name Lepisosteus oculatus (spotted gar). Lineage: Eukaryota; Metazoa; Chordata; Actinopteri; Semionotiformes; Lepisosteidae. The record is from RNAcentral.